UCAUGGCUCAGGAUGAACGCUAGCGGCAGGGCUUAACACAUGCAAGUCGAGGGGUAUUGGUUUUCGGACCGAGAGACCGGCGCACGGGUGCGUAACGCGUAUGCAAUCUACCUUUCACAGAGGGAUAGCCCAGAGAAAAUUUGGAUUAAUACCUCAUAGUAUAGCAGUUUCGCAUGAAACCACUAUUAAAGUCACAACGGCAAAAGAUGAGCAUGCGUCCCAUUAGCUUGUUGGUAAGGUAACGGCUUACCAAGGCAACGAUGGGUAGGGGUCCUGAGAGGGAGAUCCCCCACACUGGUACUGAGACACGGACCAGACUCCUACGGGAGGCAGCAGUGAGGAAUAUUGGACAAUGGGCGCAAGCCUGAUCCAGCCAUGCCGCGUGCAGGAUGACGGUCCUAUGGAUUGUAAACUGCUUUGUACAGGAAGAAACACUGGUUCGUGAACCAGCUUGACGGUACUGUAAGAAUAAGGAUCGGCUAACUCCGUG
Molecule: ribosomal RNA, 490 nt
Filed under: uncultured bacterium
Lineage: Bacteria
Description: bacterial SSU rRNA
Rfam family: Bacterial small subunit ribosomal RNA
Source: RNAcentral